CGAGUACUUUAUCAUAGAUCUAUCACUUGAGUACUGUACUAAAACGUAUAGCCAUAAAAAAGCGUGGCGCGACUCAGCAACAAGGCAUCACCACCUCGAUGGACGAUGAAGUUCAAACUUGUAUUUUCUGGUACAAUUUUAAGUCUUAUUACCAAUCGUGAAAUGUGCUGCGUGUGUGGCGUCAGACCCCCGUAACUGCCAUUUCGUACCCCACUACUAGUUGAUAAAGGACAGGCUGUUGCGAGUGUCGUAUAAUUACGAAGCUGUCAGCCGUGGACAGAACGUUAAAACCACGAUGUUCCUGGGCGGUCUUUGGUUGGCAGACGGUAUUUGGUGGUGCGUCGAUCAAUCUUCCAAGAUGAUAAAUGAACGUGGAGAUAUAAUCGCGUAAGAGGAAAGAGUCGAUUGUCGAGUGCGUAAUUCAAAGCUGUUGCGUUACCUUUGUAAAAGUUGCUCCGACAUACGUAUCGGGGUUUUUCUGUUAAUCGGAGAUGCCAUUGAAGUUACAAAAAAGGGUGCAAAAAAUGGGCAGACGGUAGGGGACGGAGCAAGGAAUGAUGGCGUCGUACUGUAACAGAUCGUGGUAAGUCAGAUAGAAACGGUAGGAGAUAGAAGGAAGAAUAGGUGGCGGAAGCUUUAACCCGAAUUCGGAGUGUUCUACUGGCAAUAAAGAAAAUAUAAUGAAGCAGCAAGCGGCGGAUCGUAACUCGUUGUACCUGUGAGUCUGUCACCCAGUCGCCAACUAAGCCACAGUGUAGUGUCACCCGCCGCGGUUUUUGGCAUUUUCCCCUGAGCAUCUUCUUUCAUCUCUCUUGCCGGCGUCCGUUUUUCCCAUCCCCAAUCUAGGGCCCCAGGACGUCUUCUUCGGUGAACUCGAAUAGAGAAUAGACAAUCCUCGGCCCUUAGUGCUGGAUCUCUCUAAGGUGGGGUGAUGAGGCAGGUAAUCGGUGGUGUAGGUAAGACCGGUAAACGAGAUCUUUAAAAGGGUAUGGAGAGGUCUUUAUACAAUUCAGCGUGCUCUCUAUUCGGUCUGUCUCCCUUUCCUUCAACUUCUUUCGUCCUUCGACCAGCAUCCUUCCUUAAUGUUGGGACUCUUCUACUGAUCGUCUUGCCAAGAUACUAUGGUAGAAUGCGGCAUCAUGCUUUGUAGAAAGCUUAUCCCCGAGAGCGAGAUACAUAGCAAAUGGCUGAGGGAGGAUAAGCAGGAGAAACUCCGAAGACCACUAAUAAACCAGAAGACUGCAUCCUGAAGGCAGGAAGCGAAGAGCAGAGAGGAGAUAGGAAGGAGGUAGGAAGAGAUUAGAAUUCUUCACAUUAGAAGUAACUACCAUGGUACAAAUACAUACUGUACUGUACAGUAUCUCGCGGACUUCUGGACCUUUUUGAUCUCUUUCUUUCACUCAAUAUCCGACGACUUCCACAACCCACAACAAGCGAUGAUCGAUGAUGGCGACACAAUAAGCCGUUGUUCGAUUCAAGUCGUGGGUUGUAAUACAGUCAGGAAAAGUAAAGGGAGUACGACUGGAUGCGGCCUGGCCAAGGAAGAAAAGAA
Molecule: small RNA, 1552 nt
Filed under: Cryptococcus neoformans H99
Lineage: Eukaryota; Fungi; Basidiomycota; Tremellomycetes; Tremellales; Cryptococcaceae
Description: Cryptococcus neoformans var. grubii H99 hypothetical RNA
Source: RNAcentral